This 18-nucleotide ribosomal RNA is filed under the name Exophiala dermatitidis. RNAcentral's name for it is "partial 28S ribosomal RNA". Lineage: Eukaryota; Fungi; Ascomycota; Eurotiomycetes; Chaetothyriales; Herpotrichiellaceae. The record is from RNAcentral.
GGUGACCUCGGAUCAGGU